UGGUGGAGCGAUUUGUCUGGUUAAUUCCGAUAACGAACGAGACUCUGGCCUAUUAAAUAGUUCGCCGAUUCCGAUCUGUCGGCGUUAACUUCUUAGAGGGACAAGUGGCUUUUAGCCACGCGAGAUUGAGCAUUAACA
RNAcentral lists this ribosomal RNA (138 nucleotides) under uncultured eukaryote. Its description in RNAcentral is "partial 18S ribosomal RNA". It matches the Rfam family "Eukaryotic small subunit ribosomal RNA", at positions 1299 to 1458 of the family's 1831-position model. The record is from RNAcentral.